AGAAUCAACGCUGGCGGCGUGCCUAACACAUGCAAGUCGAACGCGAAAGUCCCGCAAGUGAUGAGUAGAGUGGCAAACGGGUGAGUAACACGUGGGUGACCUGCCUUCGAGCGGGGGAUAACGUCCCGAAAGGGACGCUAAUACCGCAUGACAUCCUGCCUUUGAACAGGCGGAGAUCAAAGCUGGGGAUCGCAAGACCUGGCACUCGAUGAGGGGCCCGCGCCUGAUUAGCUAGUUGGUGAGGUAAUGGCUCACCAAGGCUACGAUCAGUA
This 272-nucleotide ribosomal RNA is filed under the name uncultured bacterium. Its description in RNAcentral is "partial small subunit ribosomal RNA". It matches the Rfam family "Bacterial small subunit ribosomal RNA", at positions 26 to 285 of the family's 1533-position model. The record is from RNAcentral.